RNAcentral lists this ribosomal RNA (909 nucleotides) under uncultured Streptococcus sp. RNAcentral's name for it is "bacterial SSU rRNA". It matches the Rfam family "Bacterial small subunit ribosomal RNA". The record is from RNAcentral. Lineage: Bacteria; Bacillati; Bacillota; Bacilli; Lactobacillales; Streptococcaceae.
GAUGAACGCUAGCGAUAGGCUUAACACAUGCAAGUCGAGGGGCAGCAUGGUCUUAGCUUGCUAAGACUGAUGGCGACCGGCGCACGGGUGCGUAACGCGUAUGCAACUUGCCUCACAGAGGGGGAUAACCCGUCGAAAGACGGACUAAUACCGCGUACACCCCAGCUUGGGCAUCCAAGCUAGAGGAAAUGGACUUCGCUGUGAGAUAGGCAUGCGUCCCAUUAGCUAGUUGGUGAGGUAACGGCUCACCAAGGCGACGAUGGGUAGGGGAACUGAGAGGUUGAACCCCCACACUGGUACUGAGACACGGACCAGACUCCUACGGGAGGCAGCAGUGAGGAAUAUUGGUCAAUGGGCGAGAGCCUGAACCAGCCAAGUCGCGUGAAGGAUGACUGUCUUAUGGAUUGUAAACUUCUUUUAUACGGGAAUAACAAGAGCCACGUGUGACUCCCUGCAUGUACCGUAUGAAUAAGCAUCGGCUAACUCCGUGCCAGCAGCCGCGGUAAUACGGAGGAUGCGAGCGUUAUCCGGAUUUAUUGGGUUUAAAGGGUGCGUAGGCGGCCUGUUAAUUCAUCGGUGAAAUCUAGGAGCUUAACUCCUAAAUUGCCAUUGAUACUGGCGGGCUUGAGUGUAGAUGAGGUAGGCGGAAUGCGUGGUGUAGCGGUUGGAAUGCAUAGAUAUCACGUGGAACUCCGAUUGCGAAUGCAUCUUUGCUAAGGUCAACUGACGUGGAAUCGCGAAUGCUUGGUUAUGAGACAUGAUUGGAUAUCCUUGUGGGCCCGUGUCGAAUUCCCAGUUGAAGUUGAUGGUGAUCGGAUCCGUGAGUGCGGGGAUGAAAAACGGUGACCAUGUUGUGUUUGCUUGUGUGAAGUGUAAUAUAAUGCCUCCCCCCCCCAUGCCUGUGUGUGG